CCGACUAGUUCCGGGUUCGAAUCCCGGGCAACCC
RNAcentral lists this transfer RNA (34 nucleotides) under Lactoris fernandeziana. Its description in RNAcentral is "partial tRNA-Lys". The record is from RNAcentral. Lineage: Eukaryota; Viridiplantae; Streptophyta; Magnoliopsida; Piperales; Lactoridaceae.